RNAcentral lists this unclassified non-coding RNA (200 nucleotides) under soil metagenome. RNAcentral describes it as "partial contains internal transcribed spacer 2 and large subunit ribosomal RNA". The record is from RNAcentral.
UCGAGCGUCAUUAUCAACCAUCAAGCUCUGCUUGGCAUUGGGUGUCGUCCCUAGCGGACGCGCCUUAAACCCUUUGGCGGCGGUUAUACACCUCAAGCGUAGUAGAAAUUCUUAGCUUUCUAGGUUGUAGCCGUUCUGCCUCGAGAACAUCUCACCUCAAGGUUGACCUCGGAUCAGGUAGGGAUACCCGCUGAACUUAA